RNAcentral lists this transfer RNA (62 nucleotides) under Oryza sativa Indica Group (long-grained rice). It matches the Rfam family "tRNA", at positions 1 to 63 of the family's 71-position model. From Rfam's summary of the family: Transfer RNA (tRNA) molecules are approximately 80 nucleotides in length. Lineage: Eukaryota; Viridiplantae; Streptophyta; Magnoliopsida; Poales; Poaceae. The record is from Rfam by way of RNAcentral.
UCCUCAGUAGCUCAGUGGUAGAGCGUCGGCUGUUAACUGACUGUCGUAGGUUCGAAUCCUAC